Daktulosphaira vitifoliae (grape phylloxera) is the source of this 2611-nucleotide long non-coding RNA. RefSeq lists it as uncharacterized. Lineage: Eukaryota; Metazoa; Arthropoda; Insecta; Hemiptera; Phylloxeridae. The record is from RefSeq and is a predicted model, not a curated record. The transcript is spliced from 3 exons.
GGAAUUUUUAUCAGAGAUCAAAAUAUAUUUAUCUAAACCCAUUUUUACGCUUAUUUCAAAUCUGCAAUUAAAGUUUCGCAUAUUGACUAAAUAAUAACAAAAUCCUUCUAAUUAAUCUAACAUAUAUUUAUGUUUGAUUAUUAUGUUAUGUAUGAAUAAUCAAUAAAUAUAUUUUAAUUUAAAAAAUACGUAACAAGCACAAUGUAUUAUGUGCAGUAUAUCAAUAUAAAUAAGGAAAUAAGAAAUCAUGUAGCUUUUGAAAUAAUCCACCAAUUUUUUAAAAUUAAAUCCUAUCUAAUGAUUUGCAUCGAAGUGAUUUUAAUCACUGUCAGAUAUCAUCUAUACUGGACCAAACUAUGUCACAUCCCCACUGUGCAGGGUUUUUUUUUUUAUUACGUUCGGUGUUGUGUUUGAAGAUUUUUAUGAGUGGUAUAUUUAUUUAAAUUUUGUUUUGUUUUUAUUUUAUUUAUUUUAUUCUGUUGCUUUAUUUAAUUAUUUUACACUUUAUUUUAAUUAGUAAAUAGUAAUGUUUGUUCUUUAUUUUCGUAAACGAUUUAUUAUAGUUGCAUUGGAUCAUGUAACAUCCAGUGGUAGCGAUUCUAUUUUGUAAUAAAUUGUGACAUGUCAUUAUGGGGUCACGAAAGAUCAAACACACUUUAAUUAAAUAGUGACGUACUUUAUUUAAUUAUUAUCAGUACUAAAGUUGAAUUACACUAUCAGAAGAACCAAUAAAUGUUUAUAACAGAUUAUAUUAUGUCACUGAACAUACUUUUUUUUUCUUAGUCGAUACUAUUCAGUAACGCCUGUGUUCUUAGUCUAGAGUCAAUACUUGACGAGGUUAGUAUACUUAAAGGUUUACCAUCUUGCUUUGAACCAAAUGGAUAUUUAGGACAGUUGAAUGAAGUGCAUUUUAUUUUUGUAAAAAUAAAAUGUAGAAUGUAAUUAAUUUUUAUUGAGAUAAUAUAAUAGUCAAGCAAUAUUUAUAAAGCACCAGAGGUAAAAGGAAAUUAAAGGUAAAAUGCCAUAAAAAUAUUAUACUGGUAAUUAAAUUUCUUUCCAAAGAAAAUACUUAAAUCAUAAAUCAUUUAUUGUCGAGCUAUUGAUAAUUUAAGUUAUAAUGAUGUUGAGAACCAAUAAAUCUAUUUUGACAUAAAUCAGUUUAAAACUCCCCAGGAAUGAAUUACAACUAUUACUUUAACUGCAAAUAGCAUCGAUAAUCAUUUAAAGUUAUAUUUAAACAUCUGAAUAUUGUUUCGACAAUGUGUUUAUUAUCAAUCUAAUAAGUUUAUUUCUUAUUCCUAGAAAUCAACACACGUGGAAUAUUUAUCACGACGGACAUAUACUCAAAAAUGACAAUGCUGCAAUAAUAAUUGAAGUUUAAAAAUCUUUAAAUAAACAUAAAUAUAAAUCUAAUCGAAACAGUGGCCUAGCCAAGACUUUGGCAUAGAAGGGCUAAAUACUUUUACUCAUAAACAGUAUCGAAAGUAUUAGAAUACUUAAUUAUACAGUAAGCUGCAGUAUAUACAUACACAAUAAUAACGCACAAAAAUACAUAAAAAUGGCGCUAACGUAAUAAAUAAAUUAUGAUGUGAAGAAGUGGUGAAUCGCCAGACCGGUUUUGUCACCUGUCGUCACCCUGCGUUAUCAAAUUUUUGAAUUCCGCUAUCAGCACCACAGACAAUAUCUAAAGAUAAAAAAUUUAGCGUUAAAUUACAAGAUAUGAUAAUUCUUAUCAUAUCUUGUCACAUCUCGUAUCACACUCAUAAAAAUUUUUUUUUUCUGUUGUAAUUUAUCCUUUGUCUACAGAAUAAAUUGGUUCUAUAUUUUUUCGAUUAUACGCGUUAUAUGACUAUAAAUUACAGAUACCACAUUUUUGGUGUAGCGGUGUAACCAGAUUACAGAGUUGUGAAUGUUACAAAAAAAUUGAAUAUUAUAAGAAAAUAAAUAGUAAAAGUUUUCAUCCUCUGCUUAAAAUAAAAUAUAACACUUUACUAUUUAUCAAAACAACCCAUACAUAAUUUGAGUUAAACACAACCAAUAUCCCUAUUGAUUAUAAUCCCUUUAGCCCCCCCCCCUAAAAGUACUACAAUGUAUAGUACUUAUAUUAGUAUAAUUUUUCCAGUAUCGAUGUCAGUAUUAUCAUUCAUUGCAUUAAAGAGUAUUAGAUACUCAUCGAUUCGUAAGUGGUAUUAUUGUUGAUAAAAAAUACUUUGUCGAUAAUAUAAUUUUUUUUUAUCAUCUGCAUACUUGAUAAAUAAUAUUUUCAAGUUUGACGUAAACUUAUUCAUAUCAAAGUAAGUAAUAAAUAUUUAUUACAUUUAAAGAUUGUGUGCUAAAUAAUUGAAUAUUUUCCUUUUUUACUGUUAUGACUAGAGAUAUGAAAGAGCACUCGUAAAAGCAAUAACAUUUACAAGCUAUGAACAAGAAAGGAAUGAAAUAAGAUAAAGACAAAAGUUUUAACUCAGUAGUUAAAAAAAAGUCAAAUAGUACAAUCUCAACUUACAACAUGCAACUAUUUGAUGUUUAAUGUGAAUUUAUUGGAAAAAAAAAGCUAUAAACAGCGUAGUCAACGAUUUUUUGACAAAAGCAAUAACUUUCCAUUUACUGAAUA